GACGAACGCUGGCGGCGUGCCUAAUACAUGCAAGUUGAGCGCUGAAGGUUGGUACUUGUACCAACUGGAUGAGCAGCGAACGGGUGAGUAACGCGUGGGGAAUCUGCCUUUGAGCGGGGGACAACAUUUGGAAACGAAUGCUAAUACCGCAUAAAAACUUUAAACACAAGUUUUAAGUUUGAAAGAUGCAAUUGCAUCACUCAAAGAUGAUCCCGCGUUGUAUUAGCUAGUUGGUGAGGUAAAGGCUCACCAAGGCGAUGAUACAUAGCCGACCUGAGAGGGUGAUCGGCCACAUUGGGACUGAGACACGGCCCAAACUCCUACGGGAGGCAGCAGUAGGGAAUCUUCGGCAAUGGACGAAAGUCUGACCGAGCAACGCCGCGUGAGUGAAGAAGGUGUUCGGAUCGUAAAACUCUGUUGGUAGAGAAGAACGUUGGUGAGAGUGGAAAGCUCAUCAAGUGACGGUAACUACCCAGAAAGGGACGGCUAACUACGU
RNAcentral lists this ribosomal RNA (496 nucleotides) under uncultured bacterium. RNAcentral describes it as "partial 16S ribosomal RNA". It matches the Rfam family "Bacterial small subunit ribosomal RNA", at positions 28 to 506 of the family's 1533-position model. The record is from RNAcentral.